RNAcentral lists this transfer RNA (67 nucleotides) under Linognathus vituli. RNAcentral describes it as "tRNA-Met". The record is from RNAcentral. Lineage: Eukaryota; Metazoa; Arthropoda; Insecta; Psocodea; Linognathidae.
GAAAGAUAGGCUAUAAAUAAUAAGCCUCUAGAUUCAUGCUCUAACGAAAUGGACACCCAUUCUUUCC